AGGUGGAAGAUUUAUCCUCUCCGCUCUCCUUCCUGACUCAGAAGAGAUUGCGGACCUGGAAGCUGCAGUGCCUCUGGGUCACUUGGUAAUUUAAAAUUGAUGACUUGGAAAGAGAAUGGAGAUAAAGAUGCUGUCCUGGGAUGUGUCCUUUUAUAGAGAGCGUUUGAGGACUUUCACCUGUGCGUGUCUGGACCGGCAUGUUGGCUGGCUGGGUGUUGAGCAACGGACGUGGCCCCCACAGGGAGUCGGUGCCGGGGCCUGCCUAACAGGAGAAUUUGAACCUUGGGCAACCAUGCCGUGAGGAAGCGCAAGCUAUGCAAAUGGACAGGCCGUGUGGGGAGAUGGCUGGUGGCCCCGGUGUUCUGUCUCCCAGUCAACUCAUCCUAGAUGACGUCCCAAGCAUCAUGAA
This is a long non-coding RNA of Herpailurus yagouaroundi (jaguarundi), 409 nucleotides long. RefSeq lists it as uncharacterized. The transcript has 3 exons. The record is from RefSeq and is a predicted model, not a curated record. Lineage: Eukaryota; Metazoa; Chordata; Mammalia; Carnivora; Felidae.